AGGUCUGCAGAGAGAGAGAGACAGGGUCUGAUCCACAGCCUCCAUCGCAGCUGUUGAUCAGCCGUUGCCUCUCUCUUUCUCUCUC
Myotis lucifugus (little brown bat) is the source of this 85-nucleotide non-coding RNA. The record is from Rfam. Lineage: Eukaryota; Metazoa; Chordata; Mammalia; Chiroptera; Vespertilionidae.